RNAcentral lists this ribosomal RNA (451 nucleotides) under uncultured bacterium. RNAcentral describes it as "partial 16S ribosomal RNA". It matches the Rfam family "Bacterial small subunit ribosomal RNA", at positions 354 to 796 of the family's 1533-position model. The record is from RNAcentral.
GUGGGGAAUAUUGGACAAUGGGCGCAAGCCUGAUCCAGCCAUGCCGCGUGUGUGAAGAAGGCCUUUUGGUUGUAAAGCACUUUAAGCGAGGAGGAGGCUCCUUUAGUUAAUACCUAAAGAGAGUGGACGUUACUCGCAGAAUAAGCACCGGCUAACUCUGUGCCAGCAGCCGCGGUAAUACAGAGGGUGCGAGCGUUAAUCGGAUUUACUGGGCGUAAAGCGUGCGUAGGCGGCUUUUUAAGUCGGAUGUGAAAUCCCUGAGCGUAACUUAGGAAGUGCAUUCGAUAAUGGAAAGCUAGAGUAUGGGAGAGGAUGGUAGAAUUCCAGGUGUGGCGGUGAAAUGCGUAGAGAUCUGGAGGAAUACCGAUGGCGAAGGCAGCCAUCUGGCCUAAUACUGACGCUGAGGUACGAAAGCAUGGGGAGCAAACAGGAUUAGAAACCCCGGUAGUCC